Molecule: ribosomal RNA, 392 nt
Filed under: uncultured bacterium
Lineage: Bacteria
Description: bacterial SSU rRNA
Rfam family: Bacterial small subunit ribosomal RNA
Source: RNAcentral
AUUGAACGCUGGCGGCAUGCCUUACACAUGCAAGUCGAACGGCAGCAUGGAGGAGCUUGCUCCUCUGAUGGCGAGUGGCGAACGGGUGAGUAAAGCAUCGGAACGUACCGUGUAGUGGGGGAUAACGUAGCGAAAGUUACGCUAAUACCGCAUACGCACUGAGGUGGAAAGCAGGGGAUCGCAAGACCUUGCGCUAUACGAGCGGCCGAUGUCAGAUUAGCUAGUUGGUGGGGUAAAGGCUCACCAAGCCGACGAUCUGUAGCUGGUCUGAGAGGACGACCAGCCACACUGGGACUGAGACACGGCCCAGACUCCUACGGGAGGCAGCAGUGGGGAAUUUUGGACAAUGGGCGCAAGCCUGAUCCAGCCAUGCCGCGUGCGGGAAGAAGGCC